RNAcentral lists this microRNA precursor (103 nucleotides) under Marmota monax (woodchuck). Lineage: Eukaryota; Metazoa; Chordata; Mammalia; Rodentia; Sciuridae. The record is from RNAcentral.
AGUGGGACAGCUGGGUCAGGUGGUGGUUGCCUUCCUAGUUUUCUGAGGACUCUCCAUACUGCUUUCCAGAGUGGUUGCACCAGUUUGCAGUCCCACCAGCAGU